Molecule: long non-coding RNA, 2592 nt
Organism: Cyprinus carpio carpio
Lineage: Eukaryota; Metazoa; Chordata; Actinopteri; Cypriniformes; Cyprinidae
Source: Ensembl
UCAGUUAAUUCGAAUAUGUGAACUUUUACUCAUGCUCAUGUCAUUCCAAACCUGUUUGACAUUCUUUCUUACGUGGGACACCAAAGGAAAUGUUUAGUAGAAAGUCCGAGCUGCUCUUUUCCAUGCACUGAGAAGUGAAUGGUGACCAAGAGCUGUCAAGCUCUGAAACAGACAAAAACACAAUGUAAAGCACCCUAAAAAUAAUUAGUAAAAAAGUUUGAUGUAGAAACAGCUUUCACUCAGAAAUUGCUUGUAAAUUUCACUAAUAAUUACAAAGAAACGGCAUUGAAUUAAAAAUGUAAAUUUUAAGUAGAAAUAGUAUUUUCUUAUAAAACAUACCCCAAUAAUCUUUGAUUUAUUUAUAACGUUGAUUUUUUACAGUUAUGACUCUUUCUGAAGUAUUUUUUGUGAGUAGAUGAUGAUGUAGUUUUCCAUUAAUGUUAUUUAGUGUUUCAGUUCAGGCAAAACUACAAAAGGCUAGUGAAAGCUUGAUGGUUGAAGAUCUGACCUGCUUACUCAAAGGUUGUAGGUUCAAAACCCGCAAGGUGCGAUGGAUGAACCAAGAGUUAUGGCGAUCACCUUUAGCCACUGUGUCCUUGAGCAAAAUGCGUAACCCUUACUUUAUUCUGGGGAUUUUUUCCUGUUCUAAGCAUGCUGGUAGUUCCUCUAGAUAAGAAGGUGUCUGCCUAAUGACAAAUGGACUUUUAAGUACAUUAGGUCCCUAUGUCAAGCCUGGUGGAAAUCUCUUCAGAUGUGUUGAGGAAGAGCUGUCACCGUUCAGUCCCUCCAGCACAUCCACCAUGCACGACAGCAUUUUCUUGGUGUCUUUUCCUGCCAGUCGAGAGGAUGGAAUUGGUUUCGGCACCUGCAACUCAUAUACAGUAUCUAUGAGAAAAGACACUGUAUUUUGGUUCUGGAGGUUUAUUUAAUCAAAUUUUAAAGUUCAUAAAGUUUUUUUUUUUUUAAUUAAUACUUUUUUUCUCUACAUAAUUGUACAGUAUGUAAUUUAUUUGUAGUAUCAGAUGAGUACUUUUAAGUGAGUAAAACAUUCUAAACAAAUAAUAGAAAAUGUCUUAUUCAGAUGUCAUACUUAUAAACUUCAGUAGGCUAAGUGACUGCUAAAACUUUGCCAUCCUAAAACAGGGUUAAUAUAAUUCAACUUAAGUAAAAAUAUAAACCUUAAAGUUAUUUUUUAUUAUUAUUUGCAAUUAAAUGGUAUUUAAAAAAAAAAAAAAAAAUUUAAGUUAUAUUGCCUGUGCAACAUUUUUAAUUUUCAUUGAAUUUGAUAUUAUUUACUAAAAUAACUAAAACCAAAAAAUAUUCAUUAAAAAUAUAUAGACAUAUUUAAAAAGACAAAAACACAGAUUUCUAAAAAGAAUUCUAAAACUUUAACUAAAAUGAAAAUGCAGAUAGAAAAUACAAAAAUACAAAUUCACUUAAAUGCAAACAUUAAAAAAAAAAUGUUUUACUGUACCUCAAUGAUACUAAAAUAAAAAGAUCCAAAAACAUUCUUUUUUUAUUUAGCUAAAUGGCACAUUUUCAUCUCCCCCAUUUCUAUUCAUGAAUUGUCAGAUGAAGUUUAAAUUAAGAAAUAAAGUCACACAGAAAGAUGAAAUGUAUAUUUAUGUUAUAAAGGUUUAUUAUUGCACAUAUAAGUAGAAAUAUGUCAUUUCUAUACCAAUAGAGGCACCAAAUGGAAUUGGAAAAUUAAUGAUAAGUUUCUCUGUAUAAUGUAGUUGGGUUCAGAUCUUGAGGUUUUCAUCUUUGCAUAAUAUAUCCAUUACUAUGCACCAGAGGGCUCUUCGGUAUGAGUCUGCUUGUUCAAUUUGUGAUGUGGUAAUGAGAUCAUGAACUCCUUCUAUUCGUAUUCUUCAUGAAUCUGAAAUAUUUCAACAUUUCAACAUUACAGUCUCACUCUGUAAAGUGUUUUCAAAUCAUGAAAAUCUUCAAAUUUGACCAUCAUCUCUGUUCUGCAGUGCUUGACAACAGUCCAGAGUGAAUUCCCUUUUUAUAUCCAUUGGCCUAUGGCUUCCCCUCCUUUCUGUGCUCACACUAAUCAGGGAUCGGUUUGAUUGAAGGGCGUGGUCGUUCUGUUUUUGACACGAUGAAAACAGUCUAAACACUUCAUUGUGACUAAACAGAAGAGAGAUUUUUUCCAAGAGAUGAUAUUGACGUCAAAAACAGUCACUUCAGUAAAAGGUUGUAAGUAACAAAUUAUUAUUAUUAUUAUUAUUAUUAUUAUUAUAGAGCAAGUGAUAUGGAUUGAGGAAGGCAGUGUUGAUGUUUAAACAGCUGUAUAAUUUGGCGCAGUAGGUUUUUCUUUGUUAGACUGGAGAAAGCUAUAGGCUACUGAAUAAAGGUUGUAGGUGUGGCAAAUCUGAGUAUGGUGAAUGUUUUAUUUUGAAUGUAAUGCUUUCUCUGGUUUAAUCAUGUCGAAGUCAAGUUCAGCGUCCCAGUGACAAUUUUUGUUCCUUUAUAACACUAGUUAACAUAUUGUCACACAUUAGUACAUUUUACAUCUUAAAUCUAAAUUCAUUCUUGCACUUUUCUUUGUUAAUGUGAAUUUGUAUAACUGAAUGUUAGUGCAUUUCG